CCUAACACAUGCAAGUCGAACGGUAACAGGAAGAAGCUUGCUUCUUUGCUGACGAGUGGCGGACGGGUGAGUAAUGUCUGGGAAACUGCCUGAUGGAGGGGGAUAACUACUGGAAACGGUAGCUAAUACCGCAUAACGUCGCAAGACCAAAGAGGGGGACCUUCGGGCCUCUUGCCAUCGGAUGUGCCCAGAUGGGAUUAGCUAGUAGGUGGGGUAACGGCUCACCUAGGCGACGAUCCCUAGCUGGUCUGAGAGGAUGACCAGCCACACUGGAACUGAGACACGGUCCAGACUCCUACGGGAGGCAGCAGUGGGGAAUAUUGCACAAUGGGCGCAAGCCUGAUGCAGCCAUGCCGCGUGUAUGAAGAAGGCCUUCGGGUUGUAAAGUACUUUCAGCGGGGAGGAAGGGAGUAAAGUUAAUACCUUUGCUCAUUGACGUUACCCGCAGAAGAAGCACCGGCUAACUCCGUGC
This 472-nucleotide ribosomal RNA is filed under the name uncultured bacterium. Its description in RNAcentral is "bacterial SSU rRNA". It matches the Rfam family "Bacterial small subunit ribosomal RNA", at positions 47 to 508 of the family's 1533-position model. The record is from RNAcentral.